Macrosteles quadrilineatus (aster leafhopper) is the source of this 1216-nucleotide long non-coding RNA. RefSeq lists it as uncharacterized. The transcript is spliced from 2 exons. NCBI's taxonomy places the organism in Eukaryota, Metazoa, Arthropoda, Insecta, Hemiptera, Cicadellidae. The record is from RefSeq and is a predicted model, not a curated record.
GCAAAACAUGCAUCCUAUUUUUUAUAAAUAGUUUCAACUAUGCCAAAGGUUUUCGAUAAAUCUCUUGUGGUGUUUGUUCUGGUGACGUAUCCCUGGUUUAAUUUUACAAUGCAAAACGUUCUUGUAAAUUUGUUUGUGCUUGUGUAACUUAAUGAGAUACUGUAAGAUAUUUUCCAGACACAUUCCUUCCUCAUUUACCUGCAGGUUUAGAUUAAACCUUAGUUUUAGGAAUCUGCCGACAGCUAAUAUACGAAAGCGAAAUUUUCUACUGUGUAUUAAUUUUUGUGUGGUUGCAACAUCACUUUAUUUCUAAAACAAAUAUUAUUUGUUUGAAAUAAUUUUGUUGUGAAAACUGGUUAUGAUUUUAUUGUGUCUUAUGCAUGAUAAUUUCUGUUCUUUUACUGUAAGUUAUGGUUUGUUUUCACAUAUGUGUAGGCAACUUCGGUUCCGUAAACCGUUGAUAUAUUUAUCAUACAACCCUCAUCUAUCUAGAUUAACAGUGUUCAGGGUCAUGCAUGAAUUCUUCCAGUGCAUAUGUGUGUGAUAUUAGUGUGACAUCAAGGUUUCUGAUAUUACUUUCCUGUUUUCCUAGCUCAAAAGACACGUUGGACACAUUCAAUUUCUGAAACAAGUGUCAAGUUCUUAUGUGCAUUUUAUUCUUGUUUUAUGAUAUGUGAUUGGUUUGUUAGUCUAUUUAGUGUGUCAUUUUAGUUUUUAAUUUGUAAAGUUUUGCUUGUCUUCAAAUGCCAUAUUCACUACCCAGUUUUCAAUACAAUAUUGAUGGCACAUAUAGUGUAUAGAUGAGAAAUAAUUGGGUAUUGUAAAACAAAUUGUUUCGAUUUUCAAAAUCGUUAAUAAUCACAGAAACGGGACGCUGUUGCUGUCGACAAGGGGCUCAGUGGACUGAGGGCAGAUCUCAGUUGGUAAUCCUGUGAGAGGGAAGAAAGUUGUUAGGUUCAAGGGUUUUGAUGCCAUCAAGAAAAUCAAUGCUUGUACCGCAAGAGCUGAAUUAUCAGGUCCAUUCUUCCAUAGCAAUACAUGAUUCAAGUCCACAUUUUCUAUAUUUAAAAAAAACCGACCUAGACAAUUAAUUCAGAUGGAUGUUUUUUAACACCCCUUUUUUAAAUUAAGAGUUUUGUUUGGAUAUGAUAUAUAGAUUCUUGCAAAAGCUGUGUAUGUGAUUUCUAUUAUUGAAAUAAAAUAUUUCCUAUUCUUA